UACAUUUAUUAGGCUUUUCCCUGGUUUGCUCUAACCAUUAUUCGACAUGUAUUUGCUAAGAAAUCCCUCAGAAAAACACCUGCCCUGCUUGUUUUAAUAGCGUCUCUUUUUUUUUUAAUCACUUUACAAGGCAGUAGUAGUUUACAACAUUUCAUCUUUCCCAUCUCAAAUGCUAACGUAUUGGGGUUUCCGGGAGGCCUUAACCCAGUAGAGUUUCGAAGGAUCUCAGAACUAGUGUCUCAAUCUUUAUAUAUGUAUAUAUAUACAAGAGGGUUUCCGAGUUCUAAACGUAUUGGAUCUCAUAACACUAGUGUUUCGACUGAUAUAAAAUAACAAUCUCAGCUGCCAACAUAAAACCAAAUUCUGUUUACCUAGAACAUGGAUUCAGAUUGGGCAGGGUUAUCCAGGGACCUGGUUGAUUUGAUAUUAGCACGACUGGUUUCCGUGUCUGAUUAUUUGCGAUUUGGAGCGGUAUGCAAAACGUGGCACAGUGUUGCAAUGGACAGAAUCAACAACUUCUGCCUCCACAACUUUCAAUGCUCCUUCUCCCUACCCAUGUCUUCCAAUGCUUCUUGUCCCUAGAGAUGUCCAAGUAUCAGAUUCCACAGACAAACAUUAUGUUGUAGAGUCAACUACAGAGAACUAUUGAUGGUUUGAAGGAUAAUGGAGCAGCAUGAAGGAUUAUGGGUGUCAAGCUCUGGAAACUAAACAACUAUUGCAAGGGAUAGGAAUGGAUGAAGAUGAAAAUCAAGGAGAUUUUGCUUUUCAAUCAUCAUUAAAUUAGUCAAUAAAACCUUCAUUUGAAGAUUGCAUGAACCUAAUCGAUUGCAGCAUUCAUGUCACAAACUAGGAGUUGCCUUAUAGAUAGAGCAACUAAGCUAAAACCAUGCUGAAAAGCUGGAUUGUGAAUAUUAAAACAUAAAUAAUGUACUUCAAUCUAUAAUCUACAUGAUUCAAACAUUAUUACAUCAAACUUGUUACUUACAAAUCAAUAAGUAAUUUGUUCCAAAUGGUAUAACACUAUAUCUAUAUACACACACAGAAUAAUGAACAAUGGCCAAUGCUUCACUACAUAAAACCAAACCAAAGACAUCCUAAAAGCAAAUAUACAAAAGAUCCCAUUUCCUAAACCAGAGGAAUUUGACCCUCAAAAACAACCAAGGACCUUGUUCGGAGUAGUUCCGGUGGCACGGUACUUGGCAGCUAUCUCCUCAGCCUUGAGAAGAUCUUCCCCACGCUUGGCUUCAACCAUAGCUUUCUUCUCUUCUGCUUCCUUGUGGAUUAAGGCUAUUUUGUUUUUCAUUUUCUCCACAUACU
Gossypium arboreum is the source of this 1317-nucleotide long non-coding RNA. RefSeq lists it as uncharacterized. The record is from RefSeq and is a predicted model, not a curated record. NCBI's taxonomy places the organism in Eukaryota, Viridiplantae, Streptophyta, Magnoliopsida, Malvales, Malvaceae. The transcript is spliced from 3 exons.